CUCCAGUUCGUGCUAGACAGGAUCAGAGCGAGGUUGGCUGGCUGGAAAGGCAGGUUACCGAACAUAGCGGGGCGACGCGUGCUGGUCAGGGCAGUGCUAACUGCCAUCCCAACGUUUGCCAUGACAGUGCUACGCAUGCCCAAGAAAUUUUUCAAGGAGAUAGAUAAGGUGCGUCGUCGCUUUCUUUGGGCGCAGGACGAGGAGUUGUCAGGAGGUCAAUGCAAAGUGAAUUGGGCCAAAGUUUGCUCCCCACUCGAC
This 258-nucleotide ribosomal RNA is filed under the name Triticum aestivum (bread wheat). Its description in RNAcentral is "partial small subunit ribosomal RNA". The record is from RNAcentral. Lineage: Eukaryota; Viridiplantae; Streptophyta; Magnoliopsida; Poales; Poaceae.